GCGUGCCUAACACAUGCAAGUCGAACGGAGCGCCCGGACGGAGUAUUUCGGUAUGAAGACCAGGUGACUGAGUGGCGGACGGGUGAGUAACGCGUGGACAACCUGCCGUGUACAGGGGGAUAACAGCCGGAAACGGCUGCUAAUACCGCAUAUGCGCACAGUGCCGCAUGGCACAGGGCGGAAAGCCUAGAUCUUAUCUAGUACGGUACACGAUGGGUCCGCGUCUGAUUAGGUAGUUGGCGGGGUAACGGCCCACCAAGCCCACGAUCAGUAGCCGGCCUGAGAGGGCGGACGGCCACACUGGGACUGAGACACGGCCCAGACUCCUGCGGGAGGCAGCAGUGGGGAAUAUUGCACAAUGGGGGGAACCCUGAUGCAGCGACGCCGCGUGAAGGAAGAAGUAUCUCGGUAUGUAAACUUCUAUCAGCAGGGAAGAAAGAGGACGGUACCUGACUAAGAAGCCCCGGCUAACUACGUGCCAGCAGCCGCGGUAAUACGUAGGGGGCGAGCGUUAUCCGGAUUUACUGGGUGUAAAGGGAGCGUAGACGGCCAUGCAAGCUCGGUGUGAAAGGUGCGGGCACAACCCGCAGACUGCACUGAGAACUGUAUGGCUGGAGUGCCGGAGGGGCAGGCGGAAUUCCUGUGUAGCGGUGAAAUGCGUAGAUAUCAGGAGGAACACCGGUGGCGAAGGCGGCCUGCUGGACGGCGACUGACGUUGAGGCUCGAAAGCGUGGGGAGCGAACAGGAUUAGAUACCCUGGUAGUCCACGCCGUAAACGAUGUAUACCAGGUGUCGGGGUACAAAGUGCUUCGGUGCCGCCGCAAACGCAGUAAGUAAUCCACCUGGGGAGUACGUUCGCAAGAAUGAAACUCAAAGGAAUUGACGGGGACCCGCACAAGCGGUGGAGCAUGUGGUUUAAUUCGAUGCAACGCGAAGAACCUUACCCGGCCUUGACAUCCUCCCGAAUGCUGUGUAAUGGCAGCAGGCCUUCGGGACGGGAGAGACAGGUGGUGCAUGGUUGUCGUCAGCUCGUGUCGUGAGAUGUUGGGUUAAGUCCCGCAACGAGCGCAACCCUUACGUCCAGUAGCCAGCAGGUAGAGCUGGGCACUCUGGAGGGACAGCCUGGGAUAACCAGGAGGAAGGCGGGGACGACGUCAAAUCAUCAUGCCCCUUAUGGCCGGGGCUACACACGUGCUACAAUGGCGUAAACAGAGGGAAGCGAGAUAGCGAUAUUAAGCGAAGCCCAAAAAUAACGUCUCAGUUCGGAUUGCAGCCUGCAACUCGGCUGCAUGAAGCCGGAAUCGCUAGUAAUCGCGGAUCAGAAUGCCGCGGUGAAUACGUUCCCGGGUC
RNAcentral lists this ribosomal RNA (1350 nucleotides) under uncultured bacterium. Its description in RNAcentral is "bacterial SSU rRNA". It matches the Rfam family "Bacterial small subunit ribosomal RNA", at positions 42 to 1380 of the family's 1533-position model. The record is from RNAcentral.